AUGUUGUCCCUGGAAGGUGGUACAGAGGUGACAUUUUGGUCACGUCUUCAUACCAGGUGCAUAGAAAGAAGAGAAGAGGCUCACGUGGAAAGGAAAGGAUGGAGUUUCACGAGAAUUCAUGAGAUAAAAUGCCCAAUGAUUGGCCAAGCUGCUUCCCAAAGUAUCACCGUUUUUGCACCUCCCAAGCAAAACCUGCAGGCACUUUAUAUGGAUCCAAAAGCCCAGGUCAGCCUGGGCUUCCAAAAUUAACAGCUCAACCACUGACCAUCCAACGGAAAAACAAAACCAACAACCUUAACGAAACGUUGGCAAAAACCUGAAUAGACCUUUCCCUAAACCAGAUACACAGAGGGCAAACCACCGGGGAGAAUGAACAGCAUCGCUAACUGAUAGAGAUUUCCAAAUCAAAAUGCUGCUGAGGUAUGGCCUCGCCCCUCUCCGAAUGGCCAUCUUCAAAUAAAAAAACCCUGGAGAGCAUGUAGAGCAAAAAUGCCCUACUACAUUUUGGCUGUUAGGCAAAUGUGUAAAACCACUGUGGACCACAGGAUCUUGAUAAUCCGAAAAAUAAACAUAGAACCACCGUAUGACCCAGGAGUCUUACUCCUGUGCAUAUACCCAGAAAAUGUCCUUUUCACAAAUGGAAAUGCAAUGCUAUAUUCAUGCAGCACUAUUCACAAUAACAAGACACGGAGACACAUUCUAUGUCCAUGAGCAGUGGAUUGGAUUAGGCAGAGGAUGUCC
Molecule: long non-coding RNA, 741 nt
Filed under: Sus scrofa (pig)
Lineage: Eukaryota; Metazoa; Chordata; Mammalia; Artiodactyla; Suidae
Description: lncRNA (ENSSSCG00005032530.1)
Source: RNAcentral